UACAGAGGUCUCAAGCGUUGUUCGGAUUCAUUGGGCGUAAAGGGUGCGUAGGUGGCAUGGUAAGUCGGAUGUGAAAUCCCGGGGCUCAACCCCGGAACUGCAUUCGAUACUGCUGCGCUAGAGUACUGGAGAGGGGAUUGGAAUUUACGGUGUAGCAGUGAAAUGCGUAGAUAUCGUAAGGAAGACCAGUGGCGAAGGCGGAUCUCUGGACAGUUACUGACACUGAGGCACGAAGGCCAGGGGAGCAAACGGG
Molecule: ribosomal RNA, 253 nt
Filed under: uncultured bacterium
Lineage: Bacteria
Description: partial 16S ribosomal RNA
Rfam family: Bacterial small subunit ribosomal RNA
Source: RNAcentral